This is a non-coding RNA of Musa acuminata subsp. malaccensis (wild Malaysian banana), 561 nucleotides long. Lineage: Eukaryota; Viridiplantae; Streptophyta; Magnoliopsida; Zingiberales; Musaceae. The record is from RefSeq and is a predicted model, not a curated record.
UACUUCUCUCUCUCUCUCUCUUGUCGUCUCUUGUUCGUUGAAUCGUUUAGACGUGGAAGCAGCUGAUUGUUUCCACUCUUCGAGGCUCGAAUUUUGAUAAAAUUGGAAGAGACUUAGGGUUGUGGUUGGUACAUGUACGAGGGGUUUUUCUCGUGAGAGGAAAUGGAUCGGUGGCACGCGUGAUUCUGGUGAUGGCUUCGUGCUUCGAUUAUGAUGAUGUAGGAAGAAUCAAGAUGCUGUAAGCACAAGAACCGUGGUCAUUCAACUCGUAAUUGGAUGGUUAAUGGGUAACUUAGCUACAAUACUUUGUAUUACUGGAUCAAAAGUAUUUACUGUGCCAAGAGGAAUUACUUGUCCUGUGAACGUUUUUUAUUGCAAAUUUUAAAUCCUAUUGUAUCCUUCUUGUUCCAAAAAGCUGGAGUUGAAGUCCAGCUUUCAUCUUUCCUCUAAAAAGUAUGAACAGCUGAAGUUGUUGAUUCUAAGCAAUUGCUAAGUUGUAAUACCAUUUUGUGUUUAAUCGGCCAUUCUAAAAUAAAUUAUAGUAAAUUUAUUUAUCCACAA